UCCUGUUGACUAAGCCGGACUGAUCGUGUU
This 30-nucleotide non-coding RNA is filed under the name Homo sapiens (human). Lineage: Eukaryota; Metazoa; Chordata; Mammalia; Primates; Hominidae. The record is from RNAcentral.